Pelobates cultripes (western spadefoot toad) is the source of this 432-nucleotide non-coding RNA. The record is from the annotation of a GenBank genome assembly. Lineage: Eukaryota; Metazoa; Chordata; Amphibia; Anura; Pelobatidae.
UUGUCUUACAUUUAAAAGUCAAUGUUUAUACAAAUAGAUAUUUCCCUUUAAAAAGCAUAAGAAACAGGUCAUAUAAAAGACUUUCAAUAACCAAGGAAAGAAGCCUUUGAGGCCAAUCGUUCUUCUGUCUUCUCCAAUGGGUACUUUUCCCUAUAAUUGUUUCGGAACCUUUUAGGUAAAUAUAUAACCACUUAUAUAAUUGAAAAACAGUAGCAUUUUUGAAAAAAAAAAUUCACAUUUAUUUACUGUCAAACAGGUGUUAAACUUUACACUGGAUAUUAGUGAUGGGCUCUUAUUAACAGCGGAAUUAAAAAAAAUAAAAUUAAAAUAAAAAAGAAUCACUGGAAAUUUGCACAAAGCUUUAAUUAUAAAAUAAAUUAAUGGCUAAACAAAGGCAUAAAAACCAAAAACCACGGAAGAAUAAUAUUCAGG